This 1237-nucleotide ribosomal RNA is filed under the name metagenome. Its description in RNAcentral is "bacterial LSU rRNA". It matches the Rfam family "Bacterial large subunit ribosomal RNA", at positions 1564 to 2810 of the family's 2925-position model. The record is from RNAcentral.
UGAAUACGAGAUGCUACGGCGUCGAAGCAGUGUAUGUCAGACUUCCAAGAAAAGCUCGCAAUGUCAUAAAUAAAGAAUGCCUGUACCAUAACCGACACAGGUGGGUAGGUAGAGUAUACUAAGGGGCGCGAGAUAACUCUCUCUAAGGAACUCGGCAAAAUAACUCCGUAACUUCGGGAGAAGGAGUGCCUUCUUUAAGAAGGUUGCAAUAACAAGAUCCAAGCAACUGUUUAUCAAAAACACAGGUCUCCGCUAAGUCGUAAGACGAUGUAUGGGGGCUGACGCCUGCCCAGUGCCAGAAGGUUAAAGAAGUUGGUUAGCUUUUGCGAAGCUGAUGACUGAAGCCCUGGUGAACCGCGGCCGUAACAAUAACGGUCCUAAGGUAGCGAAAUUCCUUGUCGGGUAAGUUCCGACCCGCACGAAAGGCGUAAUGAUUUGGAUACUGUCUCGGAGAGGGACUCGGUGAAAUAGACUUGUCUGUGAAGAUGCGGACUACCUGCACCAGGACAGAAAGACCCUAUGAAGCUUUACUGUAACUUGAAAUUGAAAUUGGACUUUAUUUGCGCAGUAUAGGUGGAAGGCGUUGAAAGUAAUCUUGCGGGAUUAGUGGAGCCAUCAGUGAGAUACCACUCCUAUAAUGUUAGAUUUCUAACUUUGGAUCAUGAUCUGGUCAAAGAACAGUUUCAGGCGGGCAGUUUGACUGGGGCGGUCGCCUCCCAAAUGGUAACGGAGGCGUACAAAGGUUUCCUCUGAACGGGUAGAAAUCGUAUCUAGAGUGUAAAGGCAUAAGGAAGCUUGACUGUGAGACCUACAAGUCGAGCAGGGACGAAAGUCGCUCUUAGUGAUCUGACGGUGCUGAGUGGAAAGGCCGUCACUCAACGGAUAAAAGUUACUCUAGGAUAACGGGCUGAUCUCCCCCAAGAGUUCACAUCGACGGGGAGGUUUGGCACCUCGAUGUCGGCUCAUCGCAUCCUGGGGCGGUAGUACGUCCCAAGGGUUGGGCUGUUCGCCCAUGAAAGCGGUACGCGAGCUGGGUUCAGAACGUCGUGAGACAGUUCGGUCCAUAUCCGGUGUAGGCGUUAGAAUAUUGAGAGGAGCCUUCUUUAGUACGAGAGGACCGAGAAGGACAUACCUCUGGUGUACCAGUUAUCGUGCCAACGGUAAACGCUGGGUAGCUAUGUAUGGAGAGGAUAACCGCUGAAAGCAUCUAAGUGGGAAGCCCACCUCAAGAUGAGUA